CAGCACAGUAAGAGCUUGCUCUUAUGGGUGGCGAGUGGCGGACGGGUGAGGAAUACAUCGGAAUCUACCUUUUCGUGGGGGAUAACGUAGGGAAACUUACGCUAAUACCGCAUACGACCUUCGGGUGAAAGCAGGGGACCUUCGGGCCUUGCGCGGAUAGAUGAGCCGAUGUCGGAUUAGCUAGUUGGCGGGGUAAAGGCCCACCAAGGCGACGAUCCGUAGCUGGUCUGAGAGGAUGAUCAGCCACACUGGAACUGAGACACGGUCCAGACUCCUACGGGAGGCAGCAGUGGGGAAUAUUGGACAAUGGGCGCAAGCCUGAUCCAGCCAUACCGCGUGGGUGAAGAAGGCCUUCGGGUUGUAAAGCCCUUUUGUUGGGAAAGAAAAGCAGUCGAUUAAUACUCGGUUGUUCUGACGGUACCCAAAGAAUAAGCACCGGCUAACUUCGUGCCAGCAGCCGCGGUAAUACGAAGGGUGCAAGCGUUACUCGGAAUUACUGGGCGUAAAGCGUGCGUAGGUGGUUGUUUAAGUCUGUUGUGAAAGCCCUGGGCUCAACCUGGGAAUUGCAGUGGAUACUGGGCAACUAGAGUGUGGUAGAGGGUAGUGGAAUUCCCGGUGUAGCAGUGAAAUGCGUAGAGAUCGGGAGGAACAUCCAUGGCGAAGGCAGCUACCUGGACCAACACUGACACUGAGGCACGAAAGCGUGGGGAGCAAACAGGAU
RNAcentral lists this ribosomal RNA (721 nucleotides) under Stenotrophomonas rhizophila. RNAcentral describes it as "bacterial SSU rRNA". It matches the Rfam family "Bacterial small subunit ribosomal RNA", at positions 67 to 778 of the family's 1533-position model. Lineage: Bacteria; Pseudomonadati; Pseudomonadota; Gammaproteobacteria; Lysobacterales; Lysobacteraceae. The record is from RNAcentral.